UAGGGAAUCUUCCGCAAUGGACGCAAGUCUGACGGAGCAACGCCGCGUGAGUGAAGAAGGAUUUCGGUUCGUAAAACUCUGUUGUUAGAGAAGAACAGCGCAUAGAGUAACUGUUAUGCGUGUGACGGUAUCUAACCAGAAAGCCACGGCUAACUACGUGCCAGCAGCCGCGGUAAUACGUAGGUGGCAAGCGUUGUCCGGAUUUAUUGGGCGUAAAGCGAGCGCAGGCGGUCAAUUAAGUCUGAUGUGAAAGCCCCCGGCUCAACCGGGGAGGGUCAUUGGAAACUGGUUGACUUGAGUGCAGAAGAGGAGAGUGGAAUUCCAUGUGUAGCGGUGAAAUGCGUAGAUAUAUGGGAGAACACCAGUGGCGAAGGCGACUCUCUGGUCUGUAACUGACGCUGAGGCUCGAAAGCGUGGGUAGCAAACAGG
RNAcentral lists this ribosomal RNA (429 nucleotides) under Bacteroidota bacterium. RNAcentral describes it as "Bacteroidetes bacterium partial 16S ribosomal RNA". It matches the Rfam family "Bacterial small subunit ribosomal RNA", at positions 355 to 776 of the family's 1533-position model. The record is from RNAcentral. Lineage: Bacteria; Pseudomonadati; Bacteroidota.